AAUAAAAAAUAAAUAUAAUUACCUACAUACCCCUCAAAGUUUUAAAAAUAUCUAAUUUAUCUUUUUUUUUUUUGAUUUCUAAUUAUUUCUUAUAUAUUCUUUCGUUAUUCAAAAAUACUCCCGUAGUUACUACCGAUUAAGUUAUAUCGAAUUAAUUACAAAAUUAAAAUACCUUUUUUGUUCUUAAAAGGACAAAUAAGAAAAACUGAUGAUAGUAAAAAGGUAUAUUUGAAAAAGAUAAAAAGUUAAAAUACUUAUUUUGUUCCUAACUUAAAAUUUAGUGAUGGUAGAAGAGUAUAAUUUGGAAAGGGUUAAAUAGUAAUUUCGCGGAGAUAAUGAUUAUUGCUAACUGUUCACUAAUAGAAUUUAAAUCUAGGAAUAUAUUUAAAAUAACUUGAAACGUAUAAAGAGAAUUUUUAAUAUUAGCAUAUUAUGAGGGAUAAAUCAGAAAAUUAAAAACUUUUCAGGAGUAUAUAAGCAAUUGCCCUAAAAUAAGAAUAAUUGCAUCAUUUGUUCUUAAGCUGAUUUUCCUUUUUCUUUUUUUAUUUUUUUUCCAUCUAUUAGUGUCCUAACUUUUACAUUCCAUUUUGGGUUAAUUUCACUUGUACCCUCACAAAAUUAUGAAAUAGCAUAAAUACCCUUCAAAUUUUUAAAAUUUCACAAAUACCCUUAUAAAUAUACUAUUUCUUUCAUAAAUACCUUAAUUUUUUCGAACUUCCAUCAACUUAGCAUUUUUUUAUUUUACUUUGAAAUUACAAUUUUACCCUUAAUUUUCUCACUAUCUGGUUAAAGGGUUAAUUUCAUCCGUACCACUCUAAAUUUCAGAAAUAUCAUAAAUACCGUUAUAAAUUUUGUUAUAUUAUAAUUAUCCUUCUAAAUACAUACAUUUUUUUCCAAAAUACCCUCGCCGUUAUACUCCGUCUCUUCAAGUCAUAUGAACCUUAGUUAGAUGGCGAUCUAAUAUUGGUUAAAAUUUGAAAUGUUUAUUUUACCCAUGAGUUGAGAAAAUUUUAGACAGUAUAUUAAUUAUAUGAUUUACUAUUUAAUCCCUAACUUUUGUUCAUUAUUUGUUUAACAUCUAAACCAACAUUGUUCGCUGAUAUUUUUUAGUUCUAUUUAGCUCAUAAUUUU
Molecule: long non-coding RNA, 1131 nt
Filed under: Ananas comosus (pineapple)
Lineage: Eukaryota; Viridiplantae; Streptophyta; Magnoliopsida; Poales; Bromeliaceae
Description: long non-coding RNA (ACOM_LNC020007)
Source: RNAcentral